Molecule: ribosomal RNA, 337 nt
Filed under: uncultured bacterium
Lineage: Bacteria
Description: bacterial SSU rRNA
Rfam family: Bacterial small subunit ribosomal RNA
Source: RNAcentral
CGUUUGACGUUAGCGACAGAAGAAAGCACCGGCUAACUCCGUGCCAGCAGCCGCGGUAAUACGGAGGGUGCGAGCGUUAAUCGGAAUUACUGGGCGUAAAGCGCAUGCAGGUGGUUUGUUAAGUCAGAUGUGAAAGACCCGGGGCGUCAACCUCGGAAUAGCAUUUGUAAACUAGGCAGACUAGAGUACUGUAGAGGGGGGUAGGAAUUUCUAGGUGUAGCGGUGAAAUAGCGUAGAGAUCUGAAGGAAUACCGGUGGCGAAGGCGGCCCCCUCGGACAGAUACUGACACUCAGAUGCGAAAGCGUGGGGAGCAAACAGGAUUAGAUACCCUGGUAG